GCGGUAUGAUUGUCAACGGGAAAACUCUCCACAAGAUAUGUAUUUAUUUGUUUCUUUUUCUUUACUUUACCUUGAUUCGUUUAAUUUUUACUUUAUUGUGUCUUAUCUAGCAUUAUACGAGCUUGAAACGUGAACUGUUUUACUCUAGUCAUUCGAUGGAUACCUUAUACUUACAGUAGCCUGUCCAUGCUGACUAGAAGUUUGUUGGACUAUAUUGUCUUGCUGUAGAAUUAUAAAUGGUAGGUGUCUGUUUUUACAGACUUUACAUUUUUUUAGUUUUUUUUACAAACCAGAUAUUUGGGGUCAUAUAAUACCUCCCGAUGACUUGCACUUAAGAAAAUAUGUAAUACCUGCUGUCUCUACCAUUAACAGAUUGGCCUGAAAAUUACUCCUACCUCCACUCGAUUUUAGCUACUUUUCAUAGUUUUCUUAUUUUGAAGGCAAAUUUUGAACUCCAAGAGAGAGCAUUUAGGUUGUCAUCUAUUUAUAACAACACAUCUGGAAAGGGUUGAAAUGGGGAAUAUGUCCAUGUCCCCGCUUGCAUAUAAAGUUAAAUGGGGACAUAACUCAAGAACUGUAAAGUAACACUAUCUGCAUUUUUUCUUGAUCUGAGUUUUUUGGUACAUGUUAUAAGCAUUUUGUAUACGUUUGAUUAUAUUUAAUUGAGGCAAACUUUAGUUUAGAAUGGAAACAAUAAAAUCAUUAAUUUUC
This 711-nucleotide long non-coding RNA is filed under the name Mytilus galloprovincialis (Mediterranean mussel). The record is from RNAcentral. Lineage: Eukaryota; Metazoa; Mollusca; Bivalvia; Mytilida; Mytilidae.